Molecule: non-coding RNA, 24 nt
Filed under: Arabidopsis thaliana (thale cress)
Lineage: Eukaryota; Viridiplantae; Streptophyta; Magnoliopsida; Brassicales; Brassicaceae
Source: RNAcentral
UCAAGGAUUACAUAUGUUGAUGAA